RNAcentral lists this ribosomal RNA (269 nucleotides) under uncultured prokaryote. RNAcentral's name for it is "partial 16S ribosomal RNA". It matches the Rfam family "Bacterial small subunit ribosomal RNA", at positions 524 to 792 of the family's 1533-position model. The record is from RNAcentral.
AACGUAGGACGCGAGCGUUAUCCGGAUUUACUGGGCGUAAAGCGUGUGCAGGCGGUGGUGUAAGUCGGACGUGAAAGCUCCCGGCUCAACUGGGAGACGCCGUUCGAGACUGCGCCACUAGAGGGCAGGAGAGGAGCGUGGAAUUCCGGGUGUAGUGGUGAAAUGCGUAGAUAUCCGGAGGAACACCAGUGGCGAAAGCGGCGCUCUGGACUGCUCCUGACGCUAAGACACGAAAGCUAGGGGAGCAAACGGGAUUAGAUACCCCCGUA